AUCCUGUUGACACCCUUCCGGCAAACCAGAGGGAAGCGAUUCACUUUAGCACUUCGAAUGAAGUGGCUGGAUGAGUAUUUGGCACACGCAUCAGGCUUUUUAGUACCUUUGUAAGCUUUGCAGAUGUAGCUUAUGAAGUUCUCAUAAUCCUGCAAUCACAGAAAAAACUGUGGUAAGUUCAGAGCCAAAAAAUAUCAAGCACACAAAAUACACUUCACUUCUCGUCUGCUAACUACAGUUCACAAGAAAAAUAAGAUUCCACAUUUGGUAAUCGCAUCAUACAUUUGACCCAAAAAAAUGGUAAGUCAAUUAAUUUUCUCCACGCUAAUCUAUGAUAACCCUAUAAAAACAUGUCUUCCUCAUUAGUUUAGUUAGCUAGAAUUUACAUUUGAAGAUGACCAAACUCUCUAAAUACACUAAAUCCAAAGUGUUGCACAACCGAAUUCCAAAUCAGUCAUAAGUAUGAAUGACUAACAAGUUAAUAUAGAGACAUCAUUCAUAAACAGAGAGUAAGAGAGCGUAAAAUUAGUCUAAAUAAGAACAGAGUAAAUUCUAAAAAAGA
Molecule: long non-coding RNA, 562 nt
Organism: Brassica rapa (field mustard)
Lineage: Eukaryota; Viridiplantae; Streptophyta; Magnoliopsida; Brassicales; Brassicaceae
Source: RefSeq, a predicted model, not a curated record